CGAGAAUAAACCAGUGUGAAAGUCUGCAGUAAGUGAAGCUGAAGGAAUGGCACAUUGACAGCACCUUGCCUCUGUGGCGAUGGCUGAACAUCACCAGUGCUCCCAGGAACGCUCAACUGAAGAUGCUGAAAGAGUGUUGUCCUGCUUAUAAAAAAGUUCACUAUAAAACAGUGUGAAGCCAGCAGCAGCCUCAUACAUCUCCUAUCUACAUACCUACAUUAUCUCUUCGCUGCACGAGGAGGCCACGUCCAGCGAAGACCCAGUACCACCCAGAUUUUCAUAAGUACACUUCAUGUUGUUGAC
Molecule: long non-coding RNA, 303 nt
Filed under: Chinchilla lanigera (long-tailed chinchilla)
Lineage: Eukaryota; Metazoa; Chordata; Mammalia; Rodentia; Chinchillidae
Description: lncRNA (ENSCLAG00000027100.1)
Source: RNAcentral